RNAcentral lists this small nuclear RNA (151 nucleotides) under Suricata suricatta (meerkat). RNAcentral describes it as "U2 spliceosomal RNA (ENSSSUG00005001545.1)". It matches the Rfam family "U2 spliceosomal RNA". Rfam says of the family: U2 is a small nuclear RNA (snRNA) component of the spliceosome (involved in pre-mRNA splicing). The record is from Rfam by way of RNAcentral. Lineage: Eukaryota; Metazoa; Chordata; Mammalia; Carnivora; Herpestidae.
AUCACUUCUCAGCCUUUUAGCUAAGAUUAAGUGUAGUAUCUGUUCUUACCAAUUUAAGAGCUUUGAGAGAGGACAUAUUCUGGAUGAAUACAUUUAAUUAGUGUGGUAAUUCUUAUUUUAAGAGCUGAAUUUCAGAGUGGCAGUAAUGUUC